This 387-nucleotide ribosomal RNA is filed under the name uncultured bacterium. Its description in RNAcentral is "bacterial SSU rRNA". It matches the Rfam family "Bacterial small subunit ribosomal RNA", at positions 30 to 418 of the family's 1533-position model. The record is from RNAcentral.
AUUGAACGCUGGCGGCAUGCCUUACACAUGCAAGUCGAACGGCAGCACGGGAGCAAUCCUGGUGGCGAGUGGCGAACGGGUGAGUAAUAUAUCGGAACGUGCCCAGUCGUGGGGAUAACGUAGCGAAAGCUACGCUAAUACCGCAUACGAUCUACGGAUGAAAGCGGGGGAUCGCAAGACCUCGCGCGAUUGGAGCGGCCGAUAUCAGAUUAGGUAGUUGGUGAGGUAAAGGCUCACCAAGCCGACGAUCUGUAGCUGGUCUGAGAGGACGACCAGCCACACUGGGACUGAGACACGGCCCAGACUCCUACGGGAGGCAGCAGUGGGGAAUUUUGGACAAUGGGCGCAAGCCUGAUCCAGCAAUGCCGCGUGCAGGAUGAAGGCCUC